CCCAGACUCCUACGGGAGGCAGCAGUGAGGAAUAUUGGUCAAUGGGCGGAAGCCUGAACCAGCCAAGUCGCGUGAGGGAAUAAGGCCCUACGGGUCGUAAACCUCUUUUGUCGGAGAACAAAACCCGGGACGUGUCCCGGACUGCGUGUAUCCGAAGAAAAAGCAUCGGCUAACUCCGUGCCAGCAGCCGCGGUAAUACGGAGGAUGCGAGCGUUAUCCGGAUUUAUUGGGUUUAAAGGGUGCGUAGGCGGCCCGUUAAGUCAGCGGUAAAAUUGGGGGGCUCAACCCCGUCGAGCCGUUGAAACUGGCAGACUUGAGUUGGCGAGAAGUACGCGGAAUGCGCGGUGUAGCGGUGAAAUGCAUAGAUAUCGCGCAGAACUCCGAUUGCGAAGGCAGCGUACCGGCGCCAGACUGACGCUGAGGCACGAAAGCGUGGGGAUCGAACAGGAUUAGAUACCCCCGUA
Molecule: ribosomal RNA, 464 nt
Filed under: uncultured bacterium
Lineage: Bacteria
Description: bacterial SSU rRNA
Rfam family: Bacterial small subunit ribosomal RNA
Source: RNAcentral